Molecule: ribosomal RNA, 1470 nt
Filed under: Lacticaseibacillus paracasei
Lineage: Bacteria; Bacillati; Bacillota; Bacilli; Lactobacillales; Lactobacillaceae
Description: bacterial SSU rRNA
Rfam family: Bacterial small subunit ribosomal RNA
Source: RNAcentral
ACGCUGGCGGCGUGCCUAAUACAUGCAAGUCGAACGAGUUCUCGUUGAUGAUCGGUGCUUGCACCGAGAUUCAACAUGGAACGAGUGGCGGACGGGUGAGUAACACGUGGGUAACCUGCCCUUAAGUGGGGGAUAACAUUUGGAAACAGAUGCUAAUACCGCAUAGAUCCAAGAACCGCAUGGUUCUUGGCUGAAAGAUGGCGUAAGCUAUCGCUUUUGGAUGGACCCGCGGCGUAUUAGCUAGUUGGUGAGGUAAUGGCUCACCAAGGCGAUGAUACGUAGCCGAACUGAGAGGUUGAUCGGCCACAUUGGGACUGAGACACGGCCCAAACUCCUACGGGAGGCAGCAGUAGGGAAUCUUCCACAAUGGACGCAAGUCUGAUGGAGCAACGCCGCGUGAGUGAAGAAGGCUUUCGGGUCGUAAAACUCUGUUGUUGGAGAAGAAUGGUCGGCAGAGUAACUGUUGUCGGCGUGACGGUAUCCAACCAGAAAGCCACGGCUAACUACGUGCCAGCAGCCGCGGUAAUACGUAGGUGGCAAGCGUUAUCCGGAUUUAUUGGGCGUAAAGCGAGCGCAGGCGGUUUUUUAAGUCUGAUGUGAAAGCCCUCGGCUUAACCGAGGAAGCGCAUCGGAAACUGGGAAACUUGAGUGCAGAAGAGGACAGUGGAACUCCAUGUGUAGCGGUGAAAUGCGUAGAUAUAUGGAAGAACACCAGUGGCGAAGGCGGCUGUCUGGUCUGUAACUGACGCUGAGGCUCGAAAGCAUGGGUAGCGAACAGGAUUAGAUACCCUGGUAGUCCAUGCCGUAAACGAUGAAUGCUAGGUGUUGGAGGGUUUCCGCCCUUCAGUGCCGCAGCUAACGCAUUAAGCAUUCCGCCUGGGGAGUACGACCGCAAGGUUGAAACUCAAAGGAAUUGACGGGGGCCCGCACAAGCGGUGGAGCAUGUGGUUUAAUUCGAAGCAACGCGAAGAACCUUACCAGGUCUUGACAUCUUUUGAUCACCUGAGAGAUCAGGUUUCCCCUUCGGGGGCAAAAUGACAGGUGGUGCAUGGUUGUCGUCAGCUCGUGUCGUGAGAUGUUGGGUUAAGUCCCGCAACGAGCGCAACCCUUAUGACUAGUUGCCAGCAUUUAGUUGGGCACUCUAGUAAGACUGCCGGUGACAAACCGGAGGAAGGUGGGGAUGACGUCAAAUCAUCAUGCCCCUUAUGACCUGGGCUACACACGUGCUACAAUGGAUGGUACAACGAGUUGCGAGACCGCGAGGUCAAGCUAAUCUCUUAAAGCCAUUCUCAGUUCGGACUGUAGGCUGCAACUCGCCUACACGAAGUCGGAAUCGCUAGUAAUCGCGGAUCAGCACGCCGCGGUGAAUACGUUCCCGGGCCUUGUACACACCGCCCGUCACACCAUGAGAGUUUGUAACACCCGAAGCCGGUGGCGUAACCCUUUUAGGGAGCGAGCCGUCUAAGGUGG